RNAcentral lists this ribosomal RNA (253 nucleotides) under uncultured bacterium. Its description in RNAcentral is "partial 16S ribosomal RNA". It matches the Rfam family "Bacterial small subunit ribosomal RNA", at positions 524 to 776 of the family's 1533-position model. The record is from RNAcentral.
UACGUAGGUGGCUAGCGUUGUCCGGAUUUACUGGGCGUAAAGGGCGCGUAGGCGGGAUGGCAAGUCGGUCGUGAAAUCCUUCGGCUCAACCGAAGAACGUCGGCCGAUACUGCCGUUCUUGAGGGAUGCAGAGGAGAUUGGAAUUCCCGGUGUAGCGGUGAAAUGUGUAGAGAUCGGGAGGAACACCGGUGGCGAAGGCGACUUCCUGGCCUGUUCUUGACGCUGAGGCGCGAAAGCUAGGGGAGCAAACGGG